GAGCGGCAACAGCUCAAAUUUGAAAUCUGGCCCCCAGGGCCCGAGUUGUAAUUCAGCAGAGGAUGCUUUUGGCGCGGUGCCUUCCGAGUUCCCUGGAACGGGACGCCAUAGAGGGUGAGAGCCCCGUCUGGUCGGACGCCUAGCCUGUGUAAAGCUCCUUCGACGAGUCGAGUAGUUUGGGAAUGCUGCUCUAAAUGGGAGGUAUAUGUCUUCUAAAGCUAAAUACCGGCCAGAGACCGAUAGCGCACAAGUAGAGUGAUCGAAAGAUGAAAAGCACUUUGAAAAGAGGGUUAAAUAGUACGUGAAAUUGUUGAAAGGGAAGCGCUUGUGACCAGACUUGGGCCCGGUGGAUCAUCCAGCGUUCUCGCUGGUGCACUCCGCCGGGUUCAGGCCAGCAUCAGUUCGCCGCGGGGGAAAAAGGCUUCGGGAACGUGGCUCCUACGGGAGUGUUAUAGCCCGUUGCAUAAUACCCUGGGGCGGACUGAGGUUCGCGCUCCGCAAGGAUGCUGGCGUAAUGGUCAUCAGCGACCCGUCU
Molecule: ribosomal RNA, 535 nt
Filed under: Purpureocillium lilacinum
Lineage: Eukaryota; Fungi; Ascomycota; Sordariomycetes; Hypocreales; Ophiocordycipitaceae
Description: partial large subunit ribosomal RNA
Rfam family: Eukaryotic large subunit ribosomal RNA
Source: RNAcentral